GAAGGACACAAGGAUCUGUACAAGGAGGCCAUGAUGGAGGAGCACCAGCCUCUUAUAUCACAAGAUGGAUCCAGGAGGAGAAAUCCACCAGACAGAUGUCCCCGUCCUCUGUAUUCCCAGGACUGUCCAGAUGAGAGGGUCCCAGAGAAUCCUCAGAUGACAAAUCAGGGGGAAGAUCUGACUGAUAUUAAAGUGGAGGAUGAAGAAGAGUG
Long non-coding RNA from Bufo gargarizans (Asiatic toad), 212 nucleotides. RefSeq lists it as uncharacterized. The transcript has 3 exons. NCBI's taxonomy places the organism in Eukaryota, Metazoa, Chordata, Amphibia, Anura, Bufonidae. The record is from RefSeq and is a predicted model, not a curated record.